Long non-coding RNA from Vanessa tameamea, 841 nucleotides. RefSeq lists it as uncharacterized. The record is from RefSeq and is a predicted model, not a curated record. Lineage: Eukaryota; Metazoa; Arthropoda; Insecta; Lepidoptera; Nymphalidae. The transcript has 2 exons.
UUGAGGAUCAAUUUCUUACUGUUUCAAAUACGAGUCUUCGCCAUCUACAUUGUGUCAGAAAAAAUGAUGCCAAAAACGAUUACGUAUACGAAGAAGCCUACGUCGAUUUAUUAGUAUUUCAUGAUUUUUUUAGUUAUUUAGAUCACGGAAAACAGGAUUGUGUAAUUAACACAACCGUACAUGACAUAUAUUAUGAAAUAAAAUACAUUUUUAUGUAAUAUUUUAGUUACAAGUUCAUUUCAUGAUCGAUAUUUCACUAAUAUCUAGAAUAUAAGACGAGCAGUUUUGCUUUAUUUUUUUUAUAAUUAAAUUAACGCAGAACAUGUAUCCAAUCCGAAGAGUUCUCUUAAUAUUUCUUUUGUGGUUUGAGUUGGUGCAAAAUCAGUCGAACGGUUACAUAGUUGGAGCUUGCGUGGACCCGUAUUCACAGCUGUAUUCGUAUGAACAGCCUGUUUACGAUUACUCUCAGUAUUUACAGAUCGCUUAUGCCAACCCUUACUCUCAACAAUAUCCUAUCCAAUCUAACUACCAACAAUAUUACUAUCCCUACCAAGAUGAUUCACAAAAACCUAUAGUUAUUAUCCUGGAAAACGAAGAUCGCGACGAAUUAUUAGAAAUAAUAUCUCUAAUAGUUUCUAUGAAGGAUAAAUCUGAUAACGAACCAAUUUACAUACCAUAUCCAGUAUCAGUGACGAACAACGAUUAUUAUUACGAUUUCGACUGUGACUGUGAUUGCUAUUCGAACUGCGGUUGCAAAAAGAAGGGUAACCAUAAAUCGUGUAAGAACGAUGGACCGUACUGCGACAGCAGUUGUGAUGACUGCGGUGAAUGCAGAAAGAGA